GCUCAGAUAGCUCAGUCGGUAGAGCAGAGGACUGAAAAUCCUCGUGUCGCUGGUUCGAGUCCGGCUCUGAGCACCA
Molecule: transfer RNA, 76 nt
Filed under: Tissierellia bacterium
Lineage: Bacteria; Bacillati; Bacillota; Tissierellia
Description: tRNA-Phe
Rfam family: tRNA
About the family: Transfer RNA (tRNA) molecules are approximately 80 nucleotides in length. Their secondary structure includes four short double-helical elements and three loops (D, anti-codon, and T loops). Further hydrogen bonds mediate the characteristic L-shaped molecular structure. tRNAs have two regions of fundamental functional importance: the anti-codon, which is responsible for specific mRNA codon recognition, and the 3' end, to which the tRNAs corresponding amino acid is attached (by aminoacyl-tRNA synthetases). tRNAs cope with the degeneracy of the genetic code in two manners: having more than one tRNA (with a specific anti-codon) for a particular amino acid; and 'wobble' base-pairing, i.e. permitting non-standard base-pairing at the 3rd anti-codon position.
Source: RNAcentral